UGUUAAAAAAUUAAUUCAUUUUUAAUAUUAAAAACUGACGUGGUUGAUGGAAUAAACAAACAGUUACACAUGACAUGCCAUAUGUACCUCGUGCUGACAUGCAUGAACCACUUUUUAAUAGCGAUUUAAUGAAAUUUUCAGUA
Molecule: non-coding RNA, 143 nt
Organism: Gossypium raimondii (Peruvian cotton)
Lineage: Eukaryota; Viridiplantae; Streptophyta; Magnoliopsida; Malvales; Malvaceae
Source: Rfam